This is a long non-coding RNA of Ctenopharyngodon idella (grass carp), 1223 nucleotides long. RefSeq lists it as uncharacterized. NCBI's taxonomy places the organism in Eukaryota, Metazoa, Chordata, Actinopteri, Cypriniformes, Xenocyprididae. The record is from RefSeq and is a predicted model, not a curated record. The transcript is spliced from 4 exons.
GAGACGGGGUCUCUGCUGGGACAAACAUCAAGAACGCGAAAGCGAUUUGGGGGGAAAAAAAACACCUGCGACUUCUGACUGAACUGAACUAUGCGCGGGCUCGUAUGAAUGUCUAUUUUGUUUCAUCAGAUUCCUUCUCAGACAGCAGGUGGUAAAACUUCAGGCAGAGCCGCGGUGUCCUGUGAUUGGUCAGAAACAAGCCAAUCACGGAGGCUGGAGUUCUGUAACCUCUCUAUCACAGCGUCAUUGGUGAAUGCUGAUUGGCUAUAAACAGGAGAGGUUAAAGGUCUCGUUCUGUCAGUGUUUUCCGUCUGAUCCUCCGAUGGAUGCUCUUUUGAAAUGCUCUUCCUGGAGACAGGGGGUCUGGCUGCGCUCUGACCCAGAGGAAGAGGGGCCAUGUGGGGCCGCCGACCCCCUCCUGAGCCCAAGAGCCUCCACAGAGCCACACGAGGACAUGCAUCCAUCAGAGAGCGGGGUAAAUCAACACAUGAAAAUGCAUCAUAUUGUUGCCUUCAUGUCAGGAGUGCAUCAGUGAUGGGCCAAACAUACGCAAAUGAUGCAAAUUCUCAAGGGUUCUGCUUUAUUGAUGUCAUUCAUCAGCAGUUUCUACAUGAGGAGAUUAACAUCAGAUCCAAAUAUCUCAUUCACCUUGAAAGCAUCUCAAAGCCUUUUUAUAUAAUGCUUUUAUUGUCGAGGAGCAGAGGAUUUUCACCCGUUGACCAUGCAGGGACCCGUUUAUCAGACCUGUGAUUAGGAUCCCAUGGAGUCUGACAGAGCCGCUGGCCCGCAGGAGUCCAGUGCCAUGAGGAUGGAGACGGAGCCGGUGAGGAAACGGAAAGCGAUAUGGAGGAGAUCUGCUGAUCUUCCAAGUAUUCCAGAACCUGCUUAACUUAAACUGUAUCCUGCCCUGAUCACAGCAGGGUUUGGUUUGGACUCACUAUCAAAAAUAUCCUCUGUGAUACUGAUGUGUGUGUGUGAGACCAUUAUCUACAGUCCAAUUCAGUGUCAUUGCCUCACUUUCCAAUGAAAAUAUCAGAAAAUCCUUCAAAUAAAUUAAGUUUCCCAAUCUUUUUCUACAAGCAUUGUUUUAAAUUGGUUUGUACUUUAAAUUUAGAAUGAGAUAUUGCAGUGCACCAAAAUAUCUGACCUCCAAAAAAACAAAGUUUAUGUUUAAAUGCGAGUUUUUAAAAAGGAAACAACAUAACAUUAAACUUACAGUAUGU